This 195-nucleotide non-coding RNA is filed under the name Cajanus cajan (pigeon pea). Its description in RNAcentral is "Archaeal large subunit ribosomal RNA". It matches the Rfam family "Bacterial large subunit ribosomal RNA", at positions 57 to 263 of the family's 2925-position model. Lineage: Eukaryota; Viridiplantae; Streptophyta; Magnoliopsida; Fabales; Fabaceae. The record is from Rfam by way of RNAcentral.
AGAAGUAAGCGACGAAAUGCUUUGGGGAGUUGAAAAUAAGCAUAGGUCCGGGGAUCCUCGAUAUAGGUUAACCUUUCGAACUACUGUUGAAUUCAUGGGUAGGCAAAAGACAACUUAGUGAACUGAAACAUCUUAUAGUAGCUAGAGGAAAAGAAAGCAAAAGCGAUUCCUGUAGUAGAGGCGAGUGAAAUGAGA